This is a long non-coding RNA of Helianthus annuus (common sunflower), 255 nucleotides long. RefSeq lists it as uncharacterized. The record is from RefSeq and is a predicted model, not a curated record. NCBI's taxonomy places the organism in Eukaryota, Viridiplantae, Streptophyta, Magnoliopsida, Asterales, Asteraceae. The transcript is spliced from 3 exons.
CGCCACGGCCGAGAAAAUAAACACCACACGAGUGCUGAGUUCAAUUGUCGCGUGGUCAUUAAAGGCGUACGUAAUAGCGAGCAAUGGUUUAGACUUAUGUGUAGAGGCGGGAAAUGCAUGAAAGGUGUCUUUGCUGAUCAAGGGGAGCUCUGGUGUGCUGGCUGUGAAAACCCAGUUAUGUUCCCUCGGGCAAGGUACCAUCUUGAACUUGAUGUCCUGGAUUCCACGGCAAGUGUAGUCAUUGUGUGUUUCGAU